This 250-nucleotide unclassified non-coding RNA is filed under the name plant metagenome. RNAcentral's name for it is "partial contains small subunit ribosomal RNA, internal transcribed spacer 1, and 5.8S ribosomal RNA". The stretch from base 202 to 250 matches the Rfam family "5.8S ribosomal RNA", at positions 1 to 49 of the family's 154-position model. The record is from RNAcentral.
UCUCCGUAGGUGAACCUGCGGAGGGAUCAUUACAGAGUUCAUGCCCUCCGGGUAGAUCUCCCACCCAUUGCUAUAACUACUCUCGUUGCUUUGGCGGGCCGCUGGGCCCUGCCCGGCCGCCGGCCCCGGCUGGCGCGUGCCCGCCAGAGACCUCACAAACUCUGAAUGUUAGUGUCGUCCGAGUUACUAUACAAUCGUUAAAACUUUCAACAACGGAUCUCUUGGUUCUGGUAUCGAUGAAGAACGCAGC